CCAUGUGCCACUGCUGUGGACGUCAAUACUGCAGAACUCCCCAGCACCCCCUGCUUGAUCAUUCAAGGUGACAUGAUGAAGCCCUCUGGAUGGCUUAUAUCCAUCGAGGGACAUGUCGUGAUGGGCCCACACCCUUUCUUUACACGGAGUAGCUGCUUUCUUCAGCAGCUAUUACGUCUUCAACCUUGAGUAUCCUGUGAUGAUGAUUUCAAAACGUCUAUUGCGAAAUGCGAAUGUAUUGAAUGAAGUAGAUGAAAUUUUCUUUAAAAGCAGAACAAAAUGCUCUCAGGCCCUUAAUUGAAAAGGAUGUGUUUGUCAUACUUGCAACAGGUUUUGGUUUUAAUUUACCAACUGGCCAAUUGCGUGAAGAUGCAUUUCAGUGGCGGCGCGCGUUGAUAUGGCCUCUCAUAGUAGAAAAUCAACCACUUUGCCUCAGGGAAACCUAACCUGAGGCACCUAUCUUUGCUUAUUAACAGGUGCUUCCUGGGCAUCAAUCCUGAAAGAGGCUCAAAGACCAAGAAGCGGACAACAAUGAACCCUCAUCUCCAUCAGUAAGGAGAGGGAGAACAAGUGUCCUGGGCCCUUCAGUGAGAGCAGCAGAGAGGGAGCAUCACCUUCACCUGGAGUCCAACACCACGACAGACGGAUAACAAAACUAAAUCCAGCAGAAACGAGAAGAUGACUCAUGUUGUUUUCUUCUGUUUCUUCCAGCAGCUGAAACUGAUGAACGGCCUGACGCUUCAUUUCCACCUUCUCAUGAUUUCCUUCUACAGUCCCGCAGCAGCCUUUCCCUCAGACCAGGCUGUUGGGGACACGCCCUGAAGACUCGCUUCCAGCUGCUGCACCUGGAGGACAGCUGACACCACGAGUCCCAGCAGCACCUGUUCUGGACCAAUAAAGACCUUGUGCUGUCAGUCAUCUUCCAGGAAAACUUCAGCCACUUCCUGUUUCCCGCUCCAUAACCCCCAGCUUCUACCUCUCCAGAACACCGGGAGGGGACACGGCCCCCUCCCGAACCCGACGCCGCGGGACCGGCUCCGGGUACCCGGCCGCACGCGGGAUUCGAACCACCGCUGCGCCGUCUGCGCCUCGCGGUCGCCAUCGAACCCCACGCCGCCGCCGAGUCCCCUUCACAUCUGAACCUUUUCUCCGGGCGCUUUUAUCUUCUCACUUUGGCUGUUGGACUUCAAAAGUCACUGAGCCUCAUAAGGAUCGAACCCACAACCUCAGAGCUUCUGAGCAGCCUUCUAACACUCUGAGCUGUUUGAUCUGAGACACUGACUCUUUCUUUCUUACAGCUUUUCACUUUGUUGUUAAAGUUGAAAUAAUAAUCUUAUUAUUGUAGUUCUUCAAACUAAUCAGUAGAAUUAAUCCAUUCUCAGAUAUUCUGAGUCAAAUUUAACAAACAUAUUAAGGAUUUCUAACAAAUAGAAUUUCAUUUUGUGAAAUAAAGCUGAAUGAUAAAUUGUAAGUUGAAUUUCUAGGCUUUUAUUUUGGUAUGUCCGAGUCAAACAGUCACUAAAGUGCCGUUCAGAGAAUUGAUGAAGUUACUAUUUAUUACUGCAUCAUUUUUUAUAGUGUAGAAUAACUAAAGGUGAAAUAUUCAGAUGGAAAUGAUUUGAAACAGAGAAAAACUUUUUCUGAUAAAUAAAUGUUUGAUUUUCAAA
Molecule: long non-coding RNA, 1667 nt
Organism: Micropterus salmoides (largemouth bass)
Lineage: Eukaryota; Metazoa; Chordata; Actinopteri; Centrarchiformes; Centrarchidae
Exons: 5
Source: RefSeq, a predicted model, not a curated record